AUUGAACGCUGGCGGCAGGCCUAACACAUGCAAGUCGAGCGGAUGAAGGGAGCUUGCUCCUGGAUUCAGCGGCGAACGGGUGAGUAAUGCCUAGGAAUCUGCCUGGUAGUGGGGGAUAACGUCCGGAAACGGGCGCUAAUACCGCAUACGUCCUGAGGGAGAAAGUGGGGGAUCUUCGGACCUCACGCUAUCAGAUGAGCCUAGGUCGGAUUAGCUAGUUGGUGGGGUAAAGGCCUACCAAGGCGACGAUCCGUAACUGGUCUGAGAGGAUGAUCAGUCACACUGGAACUGAGACACGGUCCAGACUCCUAAGGGAGGCAGCAGUGGGGAAUAUUGGACAAUGGGCGAAAGCCUGAUCCAGCCAUGCCGCGUGUGUGAAGAAGGUCUUCGGAUUGUAAAGCACUUUAAGUUGGGAGGAAGGGCAGUAAGUUAAUAACUUGCUGUUUUGACGUUACCAACAGAAUAAGCACCGGCUAACUUCGUG
This 484-nucleotide ribosomal RNA is filed under the name uncultured bacterium. RNAcentral describes it as "partial 16S ribosomal RNA". It matches the Rfam family "Bacterial small subunit ribosomal RNA", at positions 30 to 507 of the family's 1533-position model. The record is from RNAcentral.